CUAGCAUAUCAUUAAGCGGAGGAAAAGAAACCAACAGGGAUUGCCUCAGUAACGGCGAGUGAAGCGGCAACAGCUCAAAUUUGAAAUCCGGCCCUCGGGCCCGAGUUGUAAUUUGCAGAGGAUGCUUUUGGCGCGGUGCCUUCCGAGUCCCCUGGAACGGGGCGCCGGAGAGGGUGAGAGCCCCGUACGGUCGGACGCCUAGCCUGUGUAAAGCUCCUUCGACGAGUCGAGUAGUUUGGGAAUGCUGCUCAAAAUGGGAGGUAAAUUUCUUCUAAAGCUAAAUACCGGCCAGAGACCGAUAGCGCACAAGUAGAGUGAUCGAAAGAUGAAAAGCACUUUGAAAAGAGGGUUAAAUAGCACGUGAAAUUGUUGAAAGGGAAGCGCCUGUGACCAGACUUGCGCCGUGCCGAUCAUCCAGCGUUCUCGCUGGUGCACUGGGCGCGGCGCGGGCCAGCAUCGGUCUCGGCGGGGGGAGAAAGGCCCCGGGAACGUAGCUCCUCCGGGAGUGUUAUAGCCCGGGGCGCAAUGCCCUCGCCGGGACCGAGGUUCGCGCGUCCGCAAGGAUGCUGGCAGAAUGGUUACCAGCGACCCGUCUUGAAACACGGACCAAGGAGUCAAGGUUUUGCGCGAGUGUUUGGGUGCCAAACCCGCACGCGUAAUGAAGGUGAACGUAGGUGAGAGCUUCGGCGCAUCACCGACCGAUCCUGAUGUCUUCGGAUGGAUUUGAGUAGGAGCGUAAUGCCUUGGACCCGAAAGAUGGUGAACUAUGCUUGGAUAGGGUGAAGCCAGAGGAAACUCUGGUGGAGGCUCGCAGCGGUUCUGACGUGCAAAUCGAUCGUCAAAUCUGAGCAUGGGGCGAAAG
RNAcentral lists this ribosomal RNA (862 nucleotides) under Xylochora craticola. RNAcentral describes it as "LSU rRNA". It matches the Rfam family "Eukaryotic large subunit ribosomal RNA", at positions 34 to 929 of the family's 3401-position model. The record is from RNAcentral. Lineage: Eukaryota; Fungi; Ascomycota; Sordariomycetes; Amphisphaeriales; Amphisphaeriaceae.